AAGGGGGNAUNUUNAUUUUCUUUANAGGGAAGAGCCAAGCCAUGNUGGGGGAANAUUAUUUGGCCCCCANUUNGGGGNGCCAANUUCNCNUGAUUGCNAGGNCCAUNGNCCGNCGUUUUAAUGAAAGGAAGGGCCCUUUNGGGGGUUUGGNAAAAGNUACUUUUCCANCCGGGGAAGGAAAGGCCGAUUGCGGUUAAUNAACCGCGUUCGNAUUGACCGUUACCACGCAGAAAGAAGCACGCGNNUAACUCCGUGCCAGCAAGCCGCGGUAAUACGGAGGGNGCAAGCGUUAAUCGGAAUUACUGGGCGUAAAGCGCACGCAGNCGGUNUGUUAAGUCAGAUGUGAAAUCCCCGGGCUUAACCUGGGAACUGCAUUUGAAACUGGCAGGCUUGAGUCUUGUAGAGGGGGGUAGAAUUCCAGGUGUAGCGGUGAAAUGCGUAGAGAUCUGGAGGAAUACCGGUGGCGAAGGCGGCCCCCUGGACAAAGACUGACGCUCAGGUGCGAAAGCGUGGGGAGCAAACAGGAUUAGAUACCCUGGUAGUCCACGCCGUAAACGAUGUCGACUUGGAGGUUGUUCCCUUGAGGAGUGGCUUCCGGAGCUAACGCGUUAAGUCGACCGCCUGGGGAGUACGGCCGCAAGGUUAAAACUCAAAUGAAUUGACGGGGGCCCGCACAAGCGGUGGAGCAUGUGGUUUAAUUCGAUGCAACGCGAAGAACCUUACCUACUCUUGACAUCCAGNGAANUUAGCAGAGAUGCUUUGGUGCCUUCGGGAACGNUGAGACAGGUGCUGCAUGGCUGUCGUCAGCUCUUNUU
RNAcentral lists this ribosomal RNA (815 nucleotides) under Pantoea sp. S177. RNAcentral describes it as "partial 16S ribosomal RNA". The stretch from base 152 to 815 matches the Rfam family "Bacterial small subunit ribosomal RNA", at positions 1 to 1066 of the family's 1533-position model. Lineage: Bacteria; Pseudomonadati; Pseudomonadota; Gammaproteobacteria; Enterobacterales; Erwiniaceae. The record is from RNAcentral.